This 1114-nucleotide ribosomal RNA is filed under the name Apilactobacillus kunkeei. RNAcentral describes it as "bacterial SSU rRNA". It matches the Rfam family "Bacterial small subunit ribosomal RNA", at positions 38 to 1111 of the family's 1533-position model. Lineage: Bacteria; Bacillati; Bacillota; Bacilli; Lactobacillales; Lactobacillaceae. The record is from RNAcentral.
GGCGGCGUGCUAUACAUGCAAGUCGAACGAGCUCUCCCAAAUUGAUUUUAUGCUUGCAUAAAUGAUUUUUGGAUUCGGAGCGAGUGGCGAACUGGUGAGUAACACGUGGGUAACCUGCCCCGAAGCGGGGGAUAACAUUUGGAAACAAGUGCUAAUACCGCAUAAUUAGUUGGAACCGCAUGGUUCCAACUUGAAAGAUGGCUCUGCUAUCACUUUGGGAUGGACCCGCGCCGUAUUAGUUAGUUGGUGAGAUAAAAGCCCACCAAGACGAUGAUACGUAGCCGACCUGAGAGGGUAAUCGGCCACAUUGGGACUGAGACACGGCCCAGACUCCUACGGGAGGCAGCAGUAGGGAAUCUUCCACAAUGGACGAAAGUCUGAUGGAGCAACGCCGCGUGAGUGAUGAAGGUUUUCGGAUCGUAAAACUCUGUUGUUAAAGAAGAACAAGUGUUAGAGUAACUGUUAACACUUUGACGGUAUUUAACCAGAAAGCCACGGCUAACUACGUGCCAGCAGCCGCGGUAAUACGUAGGUGGCAAGCGUUGUCCGGAUUUAUUGGGCGUAAAGCGAGCGCAGGCGGUUUUGUAAGUCUGCUGUGAAAGCCCUCAGCUCAACUGAGGAAGUGCAGUGGAAACUACAAAACUUGAGUACAGAAGAGGAAAGUGGAACUCCAUGUGUAGCGGUGAAAUGCGUAGAUAUAUGGAAGAACACCAGUGGCGAAGGCGGCUUUCUGGUCUGUUACUGACGCUGAGGCUCGAAAGCAUGGGUAGCGAACAGGAUUAGAUACCCUGGUAGUCCAUGCCGUAAACGAUGAAUACUAGGUGUUGGAGGGUUUCCGCCCUUCAGUGCCGCAGCUAACGCAUUAAGUAUUCCGCCUGGGGAGUACGACCGCAAGGUUGAAACUCAAAGGAAUUGACGGGGGCCCGCACAAGUGGUGGAGCAUGUGGUUUAAUUCGAUGCUACGCGAAGAACCUUACCAGCUCUUGACAUCUUCUGCCAACCCAAGAGAUUGGGCGUUCCCUUCGGGGACAGAUUGACAGGUGGUGCAUGGUUGUCGUCAGCUCGUGUCAUGACAUGUUGGGUUAAGUCCUGCAACGAGCGCAACCCUUAUUAU